Molecule: non-coding RNA, 2079 nt
Organism: Oncorhynchus mykiss (rainbow trout)
Lineage: Eukaryota; Metazoa; Chordata; Actinopteri; Salmoniformes; Salmonidae
Source: RefSeq, a predicted model, not a curated record
GGGACGUUCCAUUAUAAGGGGAGUGGCCAGCUCCAAGGCAAGUCUGCAAACCGUCAAGUUUUACAUUUCUACAAUAAUGAUAACGUUAAAUAUAAGCAUUAUUUCAUCAACAGUAUACAAUAUCAAUGUAUAACUGUACUUCGCUAUUUUAAACUCGUCAAAGGGAAAAAGAGUUCCACCGGGGUGAAGAGACGGUGGGCAUUUCCCAACGCCCUUCCGGAACCGUAUUUUAACCCUGGGAUUCAGGUCGGACCUCCUUUAUCAGCACACCGUGGCACCCAUCACUGCUGAGGAAUAGACGUAAACAAGACAUUACUUUGAACUGUGACUAUUUACUUGAGAAUGAUAAUGGUUAAAUUAUAACAAUGACUGUUACCACGUAAACUAUGAGGCGUGCACGCAACAUAUAAAACAAUGAUAGCAAAUGUCAAACUGUAUUUCUGCAAUACAGUUACGUAUGGGAUAUAAGAAACAAAAGCUGUGUGUCGCGUCGUCAUUUAUAUUAUGUUUAUAGUGCAAAUUGAGUAAUAACGUGCAUAAAAUUAAAAGGAUAUUUGUUAUGGCCUGUGUACACUUGCACGCGGUAAACUACCGCGUGGCUAGCUUGUGGGCAUGCUGGCUGCAGCAGUUCUGUUGUGCAACAAAGAUCUGGUUAUUAAAUGGGUAAAUAGUUCAAUCUAUUCUCCAUUAACAGUUAAGUAGUGUGCUCUAACCCGCUCUGGUGACAAACGUCGCUGCCCUGUUUCCAAUCGUCCACAUUGCUGCUGGGAGAAUCUAUUCAAAUACAGAGCUGUGAAACCCUGUCUGCAGAUGAAGAGCAAUGGUUCCCAGUCCUGUUCCUGGGGUCUCAAAGGGAUGCCUUGCAACUGGAGAUUUCUUAAACGAUUGCCUACAGUUACUGUGUAGGGCACGGCACAGUUGGGUGACCAGGGCCAUCUGGGACUGUCUCGUGGGGGAUUUCCGGCAUCUGUGAAGGCUACCUGUGUCCUGCAUAACUUCAUGAUGAUGAACAGGAGGGGACCUGCAGCGCUCCGCCAUGUGCCAGAGGAGAGGUCUGCUGCUCUGCAGGAUGUUGCCAGGAUGGGGGCCAACAACGCAGCACAGGAGGCAAUCUGUGUGCAGGAGACCUUCACCUCCUACUUCUUCACAAAGGAUGCUGUUCCCUGGCAACACCAUAGACUACACUAUGCACAAUCAAAGGCUCUUUUAAGAGCCAUCCACAUUGCAAUAAGAGUAUUCUUCAAUUUACUUAGCUAUGUCAACUGCAGUUAUUCAAUUUCCAGUUUCUCUUCCUUUAAUUUCUACUUCGCAGGUGAGGGUGCUGUUUAGGUAGGAGUGGUGUCUGUACAAAAACAAAACAGGCUCUCACCCAUUUUGAAAACAUUUAGAACAAUUAGACACCCUAUAAGCCACACCUACACACGUGUCUAUUGCUAUAAAGAAUAGUUAACACACCUCACACAGGCCUUUUUUCAGGUGAAUACGUUUUAGAAAAAAAUAUUGGUGUGUGUUUCUGGAAAAAAAGGCCACUAUUGUCUCAAAAGUCCGUUAUUAUUAACUUUUAAAACAAUUGUUAAUCAAUAAAAGGGGCAAUCCGCAGUUAAUAUAACUUGUGCUUAGUUCAACUGUUGUACCCCAUCAGAACCCAAAAUAUAAGCUUGUUUUGCUCCAAUGUUGUAAAUGUAAACAUACACUGUAUAGCCCAAAACAUGGAUGAAGCUAUGACGUUGGAUGGUCAGUCAUUGCAUGCACAGCUCUGUCUUAGAGCGGUUACACUUCUCCAGACAAAUCCCACAGCUUUUUACAAAAACAGAGGCAGGGUUCAGCUUUUUUAUUGUUUCAACUGUGGACUGUCCCUUUAAAAAACCCAACAACCAAUCAAUACCAACGUCAAUACAAAUAGAAUCCUACUUUGUCUAACAUGAAGAUUCACAGAAUGAAAGAAAACAUAUAUUACAAUCAGUGUAAAAAGUCUGCUAGAAGUGGCCUUCGCUUGUUACACACGGACACUAGUCAAUGUUAAGCUGGUCUUCCAGUAGUCAUUUCAGCCAUAGUCAGACUAUUGUUCACAAGCGUGUG